RNAcentral lists this ribosomal RNA (253 nucleotides) under uncultured bacterium. Its description in RNAcentral is "partial 16S ribosomal RNA". It matches the Rfam family "Bacterial small subunit ribosomal RNA", at positions 524 to 776 of the family's 1533-position model. The record is from RNAcentral.
UACGUAGGGGGCUAGCGUUGUCCGGAAUCAUUGGGUGUAAAGCGCGUGUAGGCGGUCCGGUAAGUCCGCUGUGAAAGUCGGGGGCUCAACCCUCGAAUGCCGGUGGAUACUGUCGGGCUAGAGUGCGGAAGAGGCGAGUGGAAUUCCUGGUGUAGCGGUGAAAUGCGCAGAUAUCAGGAGGAACACCAAUGGCGAAGGCAGCUCGCUGGGACGUGACUGACGCUGAGACGCGAAAGCGUGGGGAGCAAACAGG